GAGGAUGGAAGGGAAGGCAAGGAGGAACUAUGUGCUGGGAAAACUAUAAACAGGAUUCGGCUGCUGCCCCAAGAAGGCCUUGCUGCUGCUGAGGCAAAGCAGCACUUUUGGGAUGAUGCUUUUAGGAACUAGGAACAGACAAAAUGCAAUCCAGAGAAGCACUUCCCCUUUAGACAAAUCCUGACAUGCAGGCAUCCUGGAGACCAGCCCUACCUCUGCUAAUUCUAUGCCUCCAGGGCUCACAAAGAAGACUGCAUGACACAGACUCUCAGCAAGCAUCUGUGAAUGAACAUCUCAGAAGCACUAUUGGAGAGGGACAGCUGUCUGGUGUCCACAAGCCAUUCUCUUACUUCCAACUCUUCACACCAGAAAGGCUCUCCAGGGCACGGAGUAUUUGAUACUGCCACCUACAUAAACGUGAAGUCAGAUGAAUAAAUUCUUGAUUAGGCAAGAGGGAAAAACCA
RNAcentral lists this long non-coding RNA (464 nucleotides) under Vulpes vulpes (red fox). RNAcentral's name for it is "lncRNA (ENSVVUG00000007645.1)". Lineage: Eukaryota; Metazoa; Chordata; Mammalia; Carnivora; Canidae. The record is from RNAcentral.